GGCCCUGCAGCGGGUCCCGCCACCAUACCGAUACACAAGGGGUAAUAGUAGUACACGAACGGGCGGCACACUCACACAACGAGCAGCUCCCAGUGAUCAGGCACUCCGUUCGACCGCAUCGGACACAGCCGCACUCGUCGCCAUCCUCCCGGGCCAUCCUCCCCCUCCAGGCCGAUCAACCGCAAUGCUCAGGGUAAACAUGAAUUGAGAAAGCGUUCAGAUAUCCUAACAAGGGAAACGCGAGAAAUUGCUCGCACCCUGAACCCCUCGCUCUAUCGGGCUCCGUAUUGAUCCUCUCUGCUGUGUAAGUGGUGGCUUCGCCGCUCGCCGCUCAUCGCCAGUCACCGCUUGGACAAGCCUCUUAGCGUCAAACGUGCACUUGCACCCGCGAUUGCAACCAUUGAUGCGAGUUGAAUGGAUACAUAGCGUUCAUCACGCGUAGCUAAACAGGUCAACGGCCGCACUGUCCCCUGCAACUCCUUUCCCUACCAUCCUUGCCUCAGUCUGUGGCCAAUCGCACUCCUGGAUCCACCCUUACCAGUUGUAUUAGUCUACAGGUACGCGUCCAGGGCCACUCCUCUCUCGCCCUGAAAGUGUAUCAAUGUUGACCAACUCACCCCUGUUCUCCUUGUUUCGUUGCA
This 641-nucleotide long non-coding RNA is filed under the name Chlamydomonas reinhardtii. Its description in RNAcentral is "long non-coding RNA (CREI_LNC000504)". Lineage: Eukaryota; Viridiplantae; Chlorophyta; Chlorophyceae; Chlamydomonadales; Chlamydomonadaceae. The record is from RNAcentral.